RNAcentral lists this ribosomal RNA (250 nucleotides) under uncultured bacterium. RNAcentral's name for it is "partial 16S ribosomal RNA". It matches the Rfam family "Bacterial small subunit ribosomal RNA", at positions 15 to 257 of the family's 1533-position model. The record is from RNAcentral.
GAUCCUGGCUCAGGAUGAACGCUAGCUACAGGCUUAACACAUGCAAGUCGAGGGGCAUCAGGAAGAAAGCUUGCUUUCUUUGCUGGCGACCGGCGCACGGGUGAGUAACACGUAUCCAACCUGCCCUUUACUCGGGGAUAGCCUUUCGAAAGAAAGAUUAAUACCCGAUGGGAUAAUGAUUCCGCAUGGUCUGAUUAUUAAAGGAUUCCGGUAAAGGAUGGGGAUGCGUUCCAUUAGGUUGCUGGUGAGG